This 247-nucleotide long non-coding RNA is filed under the name Brassica rapa (field mustard). Its description in RNAcentral is "long non-coding RNA (BRAP_LNC004000)". The record is from RNAcentral. Lineage: Eukaryota; Viridiplantae; Streptophyta; Magnoliopsida; Brassicales; Brassicaceae.
UUUUUUAAAAAAAAAAAAAAAAUUAUCCUCCCGCAACCGCCCGCAACCGCAAACGCUAGCUGGAACCAGCUUUUGAUUUUAAGAGGUUUGGAGCGGUUUGAAGCGAUUUGUAGCAGUUUGUAUGAUUGUUUCGAAACGCUGUCAACCGCUACCAAUCGCAAAAGCUGCGUUUGCGGGUGGUAGCGGGAAAACCAAUCAAACUCUUAGUGUAUUGUAUUAUUGAUGCUUAGUCCACUUUAGUUGCAUU